RNAcentral lists this long non-coding RNA (5343 nucleotides) under Sus scrofa (pig). Its description in RNAcentral is "lncRNA (ENSSSCG00000052703.1)". Lineage: Eukaryota; Metazoa; Chordata; Mammalia; Artiodactyla; Suidae. The record is from RNAcentral.
AAAAGUAUUGUGUUCCUUUGAGAAGAAUUUGAGCCUUGGUUCCUUAAUCUGAACCUUAGAGGAAGGUAGAGUGUAGGGGCUUUGGGGACAAAUCUUGUUUUAAUCUUUGUUCUUCAUUUAUCAGCUUUAAGUGACACUGGGCAAAUUCCCACCUUUGGUGGCCCCAGGUUCCUCCUUCCUCUUGCUGGAUCCCAGCAGCCUCCUCUGCAAGGCUGCUGGGCUGCUGGGGGCUUUAAAUGAGGUAAUGUGGGAGAGGCAGGGAGUACAAAUCUUGAGACAUUUGCUGCUCAGUGAAUGUUGGUGUAACACCUCCCCUAAUGCUGGCUUUAAAUAGCACAAACUUCAUACUUUUACUCCUUAGGGAUCUAUAACAAAACAGUGUCAGAAAAGCAAAGUAAAUUGAGCCAACCAAUUAACUGUGUAAUACUCCCCAGGUCUACACACUCGAGUUCAUGUUUCUACCUAGUUUUGUGGGGUUUCUCAGAAAGUAUGGAUACCUCCAAAGAAUUUUACAGCCCAGUGAGGAAGAAAAGACCAAUAUAUAGCAAACAAUUAGAGAAGUGUGUGUGACAGGUGGCUUAUAAUUAAGGUUAAGUGGUGUGGUGCCAGGGGGUUAUGAGUAGAGAGAAAUGCUGCUCUGUGACAGUCCCAGUGCAACUUGAGUAGAAUUAGAUUGGGAGGGAGUGAAGGGGAGGGGCCUGAGAAACCAAUGUCUUAAAAAUCACCCCUUUGAGCAACAUGGAUGGAACUAGAGACUCUCAUACUGAGUGAAAUGAGUCAGAAAGACAAAUACCAUAUGAUAUCACUUAUAACCGGAAUCUAAUAUCCAGCACAAAUGAACACCUCCACAGAAAAGAAAAUCAUGGACUUGGAGAAUAGACUUGUGGCUGCCCAAGGGGAGAGGGAGGGAGAGAGAGGGAGUGGGAGGGAUCUGGAGCUUGGGGUUAUCAGAUACAAUUUAGAAUAGAUUUACAAGGAGAUCCUGCUGAGUAGCAUUGAGAACUAUGUUUAGAUACUCAUAUUGCAACAGAACAAAGGGUGGGGGGGGGAAAUGUAUACAUGUAAGGAUAACUUGAUCCCCAUGCUGUACAGUGGGGAGGGGAUGGGGUGGGGGGGGGGCGGGAAAUCACUGCUUUGGAAUCUGAUAACAAGUGGCUAGUAGAUUCCUAGGUAACUAGUAGCUCUCUAUCAUAGAGUUCAGUGGUUAAAAACAUUAUUCCUGGAUUUAGGUCCUGGCCUUACCAUUGAGGAGCUGUGGGACCUUAGGCAAAUUGUGCAGACUUUCGGUGCCUCCCGCAUUGGUAGGACUCAUAACAGCAGGUGCCUCAGAGAUUGAGGACUGUAGUUAACCUUUGUCAGAUGCUUGGUUCCUGGCACAAGGUAGUCACAAUACAAAUGUGAGCUGUACUUAUGACUACUUUUGUUAAUAUUCAUUGCAUUCCUCUUGUAUCUCCCUUGAGGUGUGUGAAGCCUUAUGCCCCAGAGUUGGAGGGCCUUUGUCCAGAAAGACACUGUUCUGUAGAGUGGAUUUUCUCUGCACAUUGCUGGGCAUGUGGUGAGUACUCAGCUGGUAGACUGAGCAAGUAAAUGCUUGACAGACAGUGGAGCCUGCUGCUGUCUCUGUUGGUCCUGAAUGUCUUCAGUCAGGACCUUUUUGACUUUAAAAAUUGAAGUCAGUCACAGUUAUUUUACCAUCAAAAAGGUGUUUAUUUGGGAACAGCAGAGAAUUAUAAUUUAGGACAUGUGAGCCAUGGCAGAAAUCAUAGGCAAGUCCAACAAACAAAGGAGAAGAAUGUUAUUUUUUAGAAAAAGGAGGGGUUUGGGGAGGGUGGUUCUGAAGGAAGUCCAUUGGUGAAAAGUGAGAGUUGAGGGUGAAGAGAUUUCUCUUUGGCUAUGUAGCUGGGGUAGUCAGUCUAUGUCUUUUCCUGUUGGGGCCUGUAGCUGGUGAUUUGUUUCUCUGGGAUGAUUCUUCUAUUAGUGUCUGUAGUUGACACUUCUUCCUGUAAUUGACAUCCUGUGAUACUGCAUGAGUGCCUCCCCUUCAGGCUUUCUGAUUCCAUUUUAGUGAGGUUUCCCCUUAUUAAUUUUCAUUUUAGCAUGCAGGCUGGCAGCUGCAGCUCCCAUUCAACCCUUAGCCUGGGAACCUCCAUAUGGAGUGGGUGCGGUCCUAAAAAAAAAAAAAGAAAAAAAAAAGAAAAAAAAAGAAAAAAUGACCAAAGUAAGUGCUGUUGGUGGACACCAUGGUGAUUACGUACAAUUGGGAAACACACGGUAGCCCAGCAGGGCAUGCCCAUGCUCACGGUAAUGGGGCUCAGAUUUCACCUGGCGGCUUGUUAAAACACCUUGUGCUGGGCCCACCCCCUCCUGAGUUUUUGAGGCAAGUAGCUUGGGGUGGGACCUGGUAGUUUACAUGUCUAACAUCUUCCCAGCUGAUGCUGACGCGGCUGGCUGGUCUGGGACCACUUUUGAGAACCACGUCCAUAAGCAAUACUCACAUCAGUGAAGAGCCAGCUGCUCCUACUUCUAGUUACAGUCAGGUGAGGUGAUUUCAGCUUCAGAAAUUUUAAAUACUGUCUGCCUCAUGAAAUAAAAACUGAACUCCCAUGGUCCUGUUUAUCUAGGCCAGCAGAGGGAUGUCUGAGCCAGUGCAAAGGAGAAAUUGCUUUCUGUCCUUGCCAGUGUUCCUGACAUGGGUUAGAUGGAUGAUAACCCAGGGUGGAGAGAUUUGGAAACGCAAGUCCAGUCUUAUUAGAAGCGUGAGGUGCUAUCUGAUGCAUCUUGUCUUAGGAAGAUGACCUGAUUUGUUUUAAUUUUGUUAUUUUGCACUCUCCCUGCUCCUUGCCAUAGGCAUAAAAAGGCUUUGUGUUCACCAUUUAACCCCUUGGGAAAAUCUAGGCACAGAGAAAGUAAAAGUCUAUGAAGAUCCAUAGCCUGACAGUAGAGAGGCAGAAGAUAAUCUUAUUUGACUGGUUUAAUUAUUGUAGAAAACUGUCUGUAGGUAAAAAAAGGAAAGGGGAGUUCCUGUUGUGGCACAGUGGAAACGAAUCCAACUAGGAGCCACGAGGUUGCAGGUUCGAUCCUUAGCCUAGCUCAGUGGGUUAAGGAUCUGGUGUUGCCAUGAGUUGUGGUGUAGGUCACAGACGCCGCUCGGAUCUGAUGUGGCUGUGGCUGUGGUGUAGGCCAGCAGCUGUAGCUCUGAUUCAAUGCCUAGCCUGGGAACUGCCAUAUGCUGUGGGUGGGGCCCUAAAAGGCAAAAAAAAAAAAAAAAAAAAAGAUAGGAAAAGAAGGGCUGUAUACCUGUCUCCAGCUGUUGUGAGGUAAAAUAGCCACUUUGUGUCCAAAUUUAAUACAGCACCCACACACAGGAAGCCCUCACCCCUAAGUGUGAACCACUCUUAUUCCAGCCUCAGUUUUCUAUUUUGUGAUGGAGACUGCAGUUCCACCAUCUGAACAAUGUUACACGAAAACUGAGGCAUUAGAAAUGUUUUGAAUUGAAGGAUUUUGUAGGAAAUCAGGAUUUAGGCUUAACUCAGAACAGAACAUACAAGUGAACUGUAUUUGGGAAGAAAUGUUCCAGAUUUUUCCCUGUGCUGGUUGUCAGGGCUCGCCUGUGACCCAGUAGCCAGGGUUAGCUUGUUUGCUUGGUGAGGGAAUGUGACAGGGCAGAGAGGAUGGGACAAGGCCAAGGGAAGGCCGGGGAGGCCAGAGAGGCCUGUGCACUUAUGCCCCACAUUCUCAACCUGGGGUUUACGUGGUGGUGAACACAUGUUGAGAGUCUGCUUUGGGACAGACCCUUGUUGUGCCUCGCGAUACAGGGAUGAGUAAGAUGGGGUCUGAGUUCCCGAGGGGUUGGUGGGGGAGACAGACUGGCCCACAGAUAUGUGCCAUCACCAGGUAAUGGGUGUCCUGUGUCAGUUGCACACCAAGCUCCCUGGGGGCGGAGGGGGAGGGCUGGAGGAGGCGGGGCCUGCUUCAGGUUCCCUGGGUGACAGCGCCUGAGAAGGUGACUGACACCCUAGGGUGGUGUGGAUGGGUGGACCUGGUGUAUUUUGGUUUUGUUUCCUUUUUUCUUUUGGUUUCGGCAUUUCCUUUUUGAGUGAGACAAUUUCGACAGCAGAGAGGAGUCUGGGCAGAUGUGCACCCUAAGCGGUCAGCCCGCAGAGGGAACUGAGAAUGGGAACUGCCCUUAAGAACCACUUAGGAGGUUAGAGGGGGCACGUGCUAGCCUAGUUUCAUCAUCUCUAACAACUCUGGCUAAUUUUUAGCUAUUUCCAAGGAAGGUAGAUCCUGCAGAAGAUUAAUGUCCUUUAAGGUACAUCAGCUUUUAAAAGAAAGAUUCUGUAUUAAAUGCAAGGUUUUGUUUUAUUUGCCCUUACUUUUUGUCAAAAUUCUAAUUCCACUUUCAGUUUUGUUUUCAGGGGUUUGCAUUUCUCAUUGUCCUUGUCCUCCCCUACUUUCUUCCCCUUCUUUUCCUUAGCACCCUUAUAGAUAUCACGCAGGUUGGGGCAUGCGUGCUAACACUGUGCCCUUAGCAAACUGGGGCCAUGGCUUCCUUAUCUGUAAGUGGAUGGUGUGGGUUAACUGAGCCCUAGUCAUCUGGUCCCCCCUCUGUGAGUCCUGUGACUAGGGAACCCCUGGAAAGAGUGGCUCACCAGCUCCCUUUCAUCAGUCACUUGUUAUCCUGUUAAUAAAAAAAAAUCUUAUUUCAGAACUGCCUUCCCCAGUCCUAUUAGCUAUAUGUCCAAACCAGUUUAUAGAAACAGGAGAAAGGAAGCGGUUGGUUUUUCACUGUCCUGUUUUCCAGCUUGUGAUUGAGGACCCUCUUGGCAGGUUAUCUCUCCUAAAGCUGCAGGAUGUGGGAUGAUCAGUGUUUUAAACGUUUCACUCAGGCAUACAGUGUGAAUGCAUGAAGGAUGUUAUAACUAAUAUUACUUAAGGACGAACUGUAGAGAAUGUUAAGAUUAAUCUCAGGUUGUGGGGCGGGGCACAGGUUCUUCACUAAACCAGGGGGUGGGUAAUACUCAACAUACGGCUGGAGCUCCCAGGAAUCACAGGCCAAGUGAAGGUUUGGGGUGGAAGGAAGAAGUCCUGGGGUCAGAGAGGUGGAGAACAGAGCUCCAGAAAACCAUCCUUUGCGUUCCUGUCAUGGUUCAGUGGGUUAAGAACCCAACAUAGUGUCCGUGAGGAUGCGGGUUCGAUCCCUGGCCUUGGCUGUGUGGGUUAAGGAUCUGGCGUUGCCAUGAGUUGUGGUGUAGGUUGCAGACGUGGCUUGGAUCCUAAGUCGCUAUGGCUGUGGUGUAGGCCGGCAGUGCAAGCUCUGAUUCGACCCCUAGCCUGGGAACU